RNAcentral lists this ribosomal RNA (510 nucleotides) under uncultured bacterium. Its description in RNAcentral is "partial 16S ribosomal RNA". It matches the Rfam family "Bacterial small subunit ribosomal RNA", at positions 28 to 507 of the family's 1533-position model. The record is from RNAcentral.
GACGAACGCUGGCGGCGUGCUUAACACAUGCAAGUCGAACGAAGAGCGACGGAAGCUUGCUUCUAUCAAUCUUAGUGGCGAACGGGUGAGUAACGCGUAAUCAACCUGCCCUUCAGAGGGGGACAACAGUGGGAAACGACUGCUAAUACCGCAUACGAUCUAACCUCGGCAUCGAGGAUAGAUGAAAGGUGGCCUCGACAUGUAAGCUAUCACUGAAGGAGGGGAAUGCGGCUGAUUAGCUAGUUGGAGGGGUAACGGCCCACCAAGGCGAUGAUCAGUAGCCGGUCUGAGAGGAUGGACGGCCACAUUGGGACUGAGACACGGCCCAGACUCCUACGGGAGGCAGCAGUGGGGAAUCUUCCGCAAUGGACGAAAGUCUGACGGAGCAACGCCGCGUGAGUGAUGACGGCCUUCGGGUUGUAAAGCUCUGUUAAUCGGGACGAAAGGCCUUCUUGCGAAUAGUGAGAAGGAUUGACGGUACCGGAAUAGAAAGCCACGGCUAACUACGUG